CAGUAGCCACGGUAAUACGUAGGUGGCAAGCGUUGUCCGGAAUUAUUGGGCGUAAAGGACUCGCAGGCGGUUUCUUAAGUCUGAUGUGAAAGCCCCCGGCUCAACCGGGGAGGGUCAUUGGAAACUGGGAAACUUGAGUGCAGAAGAGGAGAGUGGAAUUCCACGUGUAGCGGUGAAAUGCGUAGAGAUGUGGAGGAACACCAGUGGCGAAGGAGACUCUCUGGUCUGUAACUGACGCUGAGGAGCGAAAGCGUGGGGAGCGAACAGGAUUAGAUACCCCUGUAGUCCCUGUCUCUUAUAC
RNAcentral lists this ribosomal RNA (301 nucleotides) under uncultured bacterium. Its description in RNAcentral is "partial 16S ribosomal RNA". It matches the Rfam family "Bacterial small subunit ribosomal RNA", at positions 509 to 807 of the family's 1533-position model. The record is from RNAcentral.